This is a long non-coding RNA of Oncorhynchus tshawytscha (Chinook salmon), 1161 nucleotides long. Lineage: Eukaryota; Metazoa; Chordata; Actinopteri; Salmoniformes; Salmonidae. The record is from Ensembl.
GGGUAUUUGGUGAUUUGUUUUUAUUUUGAAUUUACAAGCAAAGUAUAAGGGAGUUAUACUCCAGUCUCGUAGGUGGCGGUAAUGGAACAUUUAUUGGAUGCCAACUGCCGUUAAACCUCGUCGAAGAAGAACAAGAAGUUUAGUAUUUUCCGGUGUCGUGUCAGCGUGCUGAAUUUAUCUCGUGGUUUCAAUGGAACUGUGAAAACGUUUGUAUUUAUCUCUUUUGAACAACGAUGUGAGUCUAGAUAACCAGACGAGACUUCCAAACGGGAAUUUGUAUAUUAUAUUUGAGAAAAUAGUUGAACAGUAAUGCACAAAGAAUACACUAUCUAAUUAAUACAUAAAUGUUGACACCUGAGACUGAAGACCUGCCAAAUGCAGUGUAAUAUAGCUAACAUGUUAAUUUCUUUGGAAGUAAAUGGCAGAAACUGUUAAGGAAAAGAGCCGUGGACUGAAGUUUGCAGAGCAACAACUACUGUUUCAGUAUGAUAUGUUGGAUAAAGGAAUAAAGACAGACACCAAUGUCAAGUUCAACAGACUUGUUUGUGCAUUGUACAAAUCCCUACACAUGGAGUCCGGGGAACAGUCCGGCUAGUCGAAUACCUAUCAACUAGACUCGGUAACAACUACUGCGUCGUGGCUGGGAACAAGAUAACGUUAAUGUUAGAUUUUCAGAAAUGUAUUUAGUAACAGUAUAGUCAAUUAAUGAUAGACAAUCUGUUAGCUAAUGAACAUCGAUUACGUGCAGGAGUUUCUCAAAUCAAAGUUUAUUUGUCACGUGCGCCGAAUACAACCUUACAGUGAAAUGCUUACUUACAGUGCAAUUUCUAAGUUAAAAAAGGUAUUAGGUGAACAAUAGGUAAGUAAAGAAAUAAAAACAACAGUGAAAAUAACAGUAGCAAUGAUAAUAUAUCAAGUGUAACGUUAUACAUAUGUCAGCUUGUAAAUUACAUUAGUAGGCAGGGCGAUUUUGGUGAUUUUAUGGUAUAUCAUCAAAAUAAAUCCAUCACAACACGUUUUUGGACUCAUUCAGCAGUUUUUUUUAACCAGAUUUAAGUACAAUACCAUUGGAAUGUAAUGUUGAAAGUUAAAUUUAUAUUCCUAAAACUUGUGUUAAAUGAUGCUGGCACUGCUUCCUUUCCACAAGCCAUUUGGAUAAAU